RNAcentral lists this small RNA (17 nucleotides) under Arabidopsis thaliana (thale cress). RNAcentral's name for it is "ATSL061130". Lineage: Eukaryota; Viridiplantae; Streptophyta; Magnoliopsida; Brassicales; Brassicaceae. The record is from RNAcentral.
UCAAAAAAACACAAAAA